Long non-coding RNA from Anguilla anguilla (European eel), 282 nucleotides. RefSeq lists it as uncharacterized. Lineage: Eukaryota; Metazoa; Chordata; Actinopteri; Anguilliformes; Anguillidae. The record is from RefSeq and is a predicted model, not a curated record. The transcript has 2 exons.
AGAGCAGCUCCUUAAAUGACACAGGGACCAAAUAUUUUCCAGAUCGCACACUUCAAUAUCUUUCCUUGGGAUCUUGGCUGGGUUUUUUGGAUACCCUAGAAGAAACCUGUGAACCUAGGAUUCUCUCCCUGACGAGGGAGAUGGCGAGCCGACCAACUUGAUUCAUCUUCAUCCACUUGAGGAAGGACCCCCUGAUACCCCUUGUUUCUCCCAGCCCCACUCCUGUGUGGUAGGAUUGUGAUUCAGAAAUUACAUAAUUUUAUUUGAUACUUUAUUUUUUUU